RNAcentral lists this ribosomal RNA (636 nucleotides) under Proteus mirabilis. RNAcentral describes it as "bacterial LSU rRNA". It matches the Rfam family "Bacterial large subunit ribosomal RNA", at positions 1635 to 2251 of the family's 2925-position model. The record is from RNAcentral. Lineage: Bacteria; Pseudomonadati; Pseudomonadota; Gammaproteobacteria; Enterobacterales; Morganellaceae.
CCAACAAUCGUACCCCCAAACCGACACAGGUGGUCAGGUAGAGAAUACUCAGGCGCUUGAGAGAACUCGGGUGAAGGAACUAGGCAAAAUGGUGCCGUAACUUCGGGAGAAGGCACGCUGGCGGUAGGUAAAGUCCCUCGCGGACAGAGCUGAAGCCAGUCGAAGAUACCAGCUGGCUGCAACUGUUUAUUAAAAACACAGCACUGUGCAAACACGAAAGUGGACGUAUACGGUGUGACGCCUGCCCGGUGCUGGAAGGUUAAUUGAUGGGGUUAGCCGUAAGGCGAAGCUCCUGAUCGAAGCCCCAGUAAACGGCGGCCGUAACUAUAACGGUCCUAAGGUAGCGAAAUUCCUUGUCGGGUAAGUUCCGACCUGCACGAAUGGCGUAAUGAUGGCCAGGCUGUCUCCACCCGAGACUCAGUGAAAUUGAACUCGCUGUGAAGAUGCAGUGUACCCGCGGCAAGACGGAAAGACCCCGUGAACCUUUACUAUAGCUUGACACUGAACAUUGAGCCUUGAUGUGUAGGAUAGGUGGGAGGCUUUGAAGUGUGGACGCCAGUCUGCAUGGAGCCAACCUUGAAAUACCACCCUUUAACGUUUGAUGUUCUAACCUAGGCCCGUGAUCCGGGUCGGGGA